ACUGUAUUUACUUAUUUGUUAUCAAUAUUUGACCAUUUUAAAGGUGUUAAUCCAUUCUUAGCUUUUAAAUUGACCCUACUCACAUCUUUUUCUAGUUAUUUAGUGUUAAUUUCGUUACCAGAUUUCUUUCUCUCUCUUGCCUGGGAACUGUCAAAAUGGUAAAUUCGUUAUUUUAAGGUAUAUUUAUCAUAUUAAGGAACUCAGUUUAUAACAGGUACCCUAUUUUCUAAAGAAAUUACCAGUAUUAUUGGUUAUCAGAGGAAUUUUCUUCAUCGUAAACUAUGAAGACUGGAAUGAAGACAUUUUUUCCAAGGCCUGGGAUAUGCUGUCAGUAGGAUCUCGUCAAUAACAUUUAUGGUAUUAGGUCAGAGAAACCUAUAUAGACGCCUUGGUGAAUCGAAGGUGGAAGUGGCCAUUCAGUUGCUGUGCUGUUUGACAGCAAAGGGAACACACUUAUAUUGAUGUGCAGGGACCUUGCACAAACCAUCGGCUCAUUGGAAUGGAGGAAUGCCAAACAAGGAUCCAUGCUAUGAUACAAGAAGGGAACGAGAAAAUUGGAUGACUGGCUCAAUUCUUUUCUCUUCAAUAAGGAUGGAUCGACAUCAAGAUGUGGAGGAUGGGCUAUCUCUUGGCAGAUAAAGGAAGUGCUUCCUGGGUAGCGGACGAGGCAUUAAAGAUUUACAUAGACGAAGAAGAUAACAGGCGUCCUCCUCAUGACACUGCAGUCAUGAAUUAGAUAAAAGGCUAGAAUGAAUUCAUUCUUCACAACUUUGUCAACUUAAAUUGUUUAGUAGGGGUCUGCUUUCUGCUCCCGUAAAUCAAAAUAUUAGAAUUUUGUCACUUUGACAUUUUACAAAACAUGGCGGCCAUUGCAAAUAAUUUGAGAAAUGAAUGACGCUAAACAGUAGACCCCGAAAAGAAAGUGCAAGACUAAAUCUUUUUCAAAAAAUGUGCUGUUAACGGAAAAUUAUAUUGUUGUUGAAAUUGAGAAUCAUAAAAAAGUCAAAUUAUUGUUUCAAUUCA
This is a long non-coding RNA of Daphnia pulicaria, 1023 nucleotides long. RefSeq lists it as uncharacterized. The record is from RefSeq and is a predicted model, not a curated record. The transcript is spliced from 6 exons. NCBI's taxonomy places the organism in Eukaryota, Metazoa, Arthropoda, Branchiopoda, Diplostraca, Daphniidae.